CAGGCCAUGGGUCUGGAGUGCCUCCCCUGGACGUCGUGUGCCCAGGGGUGGAGCCUGCUAGGAAGUCCAGGUGGAGAGCAGGGGGCGCCUGGCAUGGGGUGAGGAGGCCCAGGGCGUGGAUGUGGGGACACCAGCGCCCACAGGGGAGUCACCUCGCAAGCCGCUCUGCUGCUGGAGAGGAAAGGACAGCCCUGUAACCAGGCCAGGCCCCGGGUCCACCCAGGGCCACCGGAGCACACUCACGGGGAGGCUCGUGGGCAGAUGUACCCAUCAGUGGCCUCCAGGUCCGCUGAGGGUAGAGUGCCCAAGGCCAGCUGCCCCGGUGGCUGAGCAGGGUGCGUCUUUCCUCAGAUGCCAUCAGCCACCGGGAGGGACAGCACCAGGCAGCCACUCUGGAAGGACCCAUGUGUCCCCGUGAGGUGCAGGGCCUGGUCAGCUGGGCCUGGAGGGAGGAGAGAGAGCCCGGCGAGCCCUGGGGCCCAGGUCCUGUCCGGGUGGCGAGGUGCUCUGGAGGAGAGGCAGGAAUGGUCGCGCACAGCUGUGAGUCCACUGAAGCCACCAAACCCGGCACGAAGACGGUGGAACUCAGCCACACAGUGCCACGCCUGUAUCCUCGACCUCAGGAGGCUGAGGCAGGAGGACUGCAAGUUCAAAGCCAGCCUCGAGAAGACCCUGUCUCAAAUAAAAAGGUAAAGGAUGUGGCCCAGUGGUAAAGCACCGAGGUUCAAUCCCCAGCGACUUUCCACCCUCCCAGGAGUUCUGGGUCAUCUAGAGGACGGGGCCUCCGCAGCGGGCGUCUGUAAACCCCACGCCCCUCACGUCCACCAGGGACUUGGGCGUCUGCAGCUCCUGGUACCUGGGAGGCCUGGAACCUGCCCCCUUCAGACACGGAGCGGCCACUGCAAUAUUGAUGUGCUUUAAGCUCAUCAGGCUUUGAAGCCAGCAAUUUGACCCCCUCCUCAAGAUCUUACUGCUGAGGGUCACUUUGGGGGCUCUGGGCUGACCAGAGAGGGCACUGGUGUAAAAAACAAAACAAAACAAAACAGCCUUUCACGGUUGCAGGAAAUCUGACACGGCCACCUUUUUGCUUCUCUCCAGAUGUCUCCGUGCCACCCAAUCCUGCCUGCAAGGCCAUCUCUUUGUGGACACUCUCAGUUUCAUUGUAUAGUCUUUUAAUGAAAAGGAACGGGAAGGUACUGUUGGGCAGGUUG
Molecule: long non-coding RNA, 1211 nt
Filed under: Marmota monax (woodchuck)
Lineage: Eukaryota; Metazoa; Chordata; Mammalia; Rodentia; Sciuridae
Source: RNAcentral